AGAGGGGGCCAGCGUUAUUCGGAAUUAUUGGGCGUAAAGGGCGCGUAGGCGGCCAUGCGUGUCUUCCGUGAAAUCCCUCGGCUUAACCGAGGACGUGCGGAAGAAACUGCAAGGCUCGAGUCCGGAAGAGGGGGGCGGAAUUCCCAGUGUAGCGGUGAAAUGCGUAGAUAUUGGGAGGAACACCAGUGGCGAAGGCGGUCCCCUGGGCCGGAACUGACGCUGAGGCGCGAAAGCGUGGGUAGCAAACGGGAUUAGAUACCCCGGUAGUCCACGCCGUAAACGAUGGGCACUUGGUGUCGCGGGUAUCGACCCCUGCGGUGCCGAAGCUAACGCAUUAAGUGCCCCGCCUGGGGAGUACGGUCGCAAGGCUG
RNAcentral lists this ribosomal RNA (371 nucleotides) under uncultured bacterium. RNAcentral's name for it is "bacterial SSU rRNA". It matches the Rfam family "Bacterial small subunit ribosomal RNA", at positions 527 to 896 of the family's 1533-position model. The record is from RNAcentral.